RNAcentral lists this transfer RNA (72 nucleotides) under Candidatus Pacearchaeota archaeon. Its description in RNAcentral is "tRNA-Phe". It matches the Rfam family "tRNA". From Rfam's summary of the family: Transfer RNA (tRNA) molecules are approximately 80 nucleotides in length. Their secondary structure includes four short double-helical elements and three loops (D, anti-codon, and T loops). The record is from RNAcentral. Lineage: Archaea; Nanobdellati.
GGAGCAGUAGCUCAGUGGGAGAGCACAUGACUGAAGAUCAUGUUGUCGGGUGUUCGAUUCACCCCUGCUCCA